Amphimedon queenslandica is the source of this 549-nucleotide long non-coding RNA. RefSeq lists it as uncharacterized. The record is from RefSeq and is a predicted model, not a curated record. Lineage: Eukaryota; Metazoa; Porifera; Demospongiae; Haplosclerida; Niphatidae. The transcript is spliced from 5 exons.
CGCCCACGCAGCCCACGUGUGUAAAAUGGUGUCCAUCUCAGCAUAGAUAUUAUCAAGAGUACGGAGUGUCAAGAAGACUUUUAUCGACUUUUAUACCCCAAGUUCCCAACUGGCGCCAACUAGUCAUGAGAUUAUGGUUCCUAUUGUGUUUUGGGGCCAUCAUCCUCCAGUACACGAUAUCACCUGUAUGACCAGAGGAGGAUAAAGGAGGAGCUACUGGUACUAAAACGAGACAGAUUUGUAUCUUAAACUUAUACAGGAAGAGAAUCAACAGAGAGUUUGUGUUAUGUCCGAGACUAUUAUUACUAGAAAUGGAUUCUGGAGACAGGGACAGGAUUGUCAGUCUUAGUAAAAAUGGGUGCAUAGCAUUGUGGGAUGGUAAAGAUGGGACGUGUCUUAAGACUGUUAAUAAUCUUGGAAAUGGAAUGCAUUAUGGAAUAAAGCUGCAGGUGUGGAGUCUAUCAUUGGUAAGCUUCAUUGAGAGGAAGGUUCUGCUGCUCCUGAUUUCAAGUCUCAUUUCACUGGCUCUCUCUCUGACUCAUGGCAGUC